UACGGAGGGUGCAAGCGUUAUCCGGAUUCACUGGGUUUAAAGGGUGCGUAGGCGGGCAGGUAAGUCCGUGGUGAAAUCUCUGAGCUUAACUCAGAAACUGCCAUGGAUACUAUUUGUCUUGAAUAUUGUGGAGGUAAGCGGAAUAUGUCAUGUAGCGGUGAAAUGCUUAGAUAUGACAUAGAACACCAAUUGCGAAGGCAGCUUACUGAACCUACAUUGACGCUGAGGCACGAAAGCGUGGGGAUCAAACAGG
This 253-nucleotide ribosomal RNA is filed under the name uncultured bacterium. RNAcentral's name for it is "partial 16S ribosomal RNA". It matches the Rfam family "Bacterial small subunit ribosomal RNA", at positions 524 to 776 of the family's 1533-position model. The record is from RNAcentral.